UCCUGGGUUCUGGUGCAACUGUCCAGU
RNAcentral lists this non-coding RNA (27 nucleotides) under Homo sapiens (human). Lineage: Eukaryota; Metazoa; Chordata; Mammalia; Primates; Hominidae. The record is from RNAcentral.